GCCUGUCCCGGACUGCCAGGUGUCAGACGGAGCGACGGGCCGGCCGCAGCCUCAGCCAUGCGUCCCUCGGCGGCGGGCAGGCUCCUCUUGGCCUGCAGCCUUGCUUUCAUGCCCUUCUUCACAGUGUACUCAGCAUGGCAUAAGGAAAGAGCAGACACGGUUCCUGCCCUCAUAUGCUUACAGUCUACAGAACAGUGCUGGGGACACAGUCCUGAGUGUUGCCUCCUGAUCAGCCACUUACUGACUGCCUGGCCUCAGGAAAGCAGCUGAGCUUAUCUGUUCUUAGUCUCCUGGGAGAUUAAGAUGAGUGACCUAGAGGAGAAGGAUGUUGAUGAAUUCAGCUCCAGUGGUUUUAAGUGCCCAACAUGCUUUGCAGUGCAAGGAAGGAAAUGUGAUACAGAACUCAAAUGGUGUGCAGCAGGUAAAGUGUAUUGAAGUCUCUGGCAUCAUAAACACAGGGCACAAUAAGAGAAACUGGUUAUUUUAUGAAGGCUUUGGCUGGAAUGGUGUGCUUUCCUUUAAGGAAUCAAACUUGACUUAUGGAGACAAUAAAAGCUACUUGGGAAAACCGGCCUCAUACCUUGUCUACACAGUCCCUGUGCAGGAUUCCUGACCUGUGGUAAGUAAAGCAUGUCACUUUCUGACAGGC
RNAcentral lists this small RNA (649 nucleotides) under Pongo abelii (Sumatran orangutan). RNAcentral describes it as "processed transcript". The record is from RNAcentral. Lineage: Eukaryota; Metazoa; Chordata; Mammalia; Primates; Hominidae.